This 944-nucleotide long non-coding RNA is filed under the name Homo sapiens (human). Its description in RNAcentral is "HSALNT0211472". The record is from RNAcentral. Lineage: Eukaryota; Metazoa; Chordata; Mammalia; Primates; Hominidae.
CGAUCACGAGAACAGCAUGAGGGUAACGGCCCUCAUGAUUCAAUUACCUCCCGCUGGGGCCCUCCCACGGCACAUGGACAUUACGGGAACUACAGUUCAAGAUGAGAUUUAGGUGGGGACACAGCCAAACCUAGCUGAAUCUCAGGAGGCAUACAGCAAACGAGGGGGAGCAGAACGCAUGAGCACAGGCACUGAUGCUGAGCUUUCAGCUUGCCGGACCCUCAAUCGAAAAUGUUCUACAGCUGGAAGGGAGUGUGGGUGGAUGGAUCCUCUGAGUCAGUUAAAUGGAGGUCAGCUGGAGAUGCCACUGCCAGGCAGAAGCUGCUAAUUCUCACCACAGAUAAUACUAUGAGUCAUGAAUGUGAUGACAUCAUGAAGCCUCCUGGACAGUGGCAAUCAUCAGCCCCCCAAGUGUGAGUGCCGGUGCCUUUCUUGGAGCUGAAAGCCUUCCAUGGCGGGCGUUUCAUGAAGACCACCCCACAGGUCCCCAGACACAGUUUGCGGGCCUCAUUUCGUCCUUCCCAAGGUUCCAGGAUUUUCCAAUGCCUAUUAAAUCUUCUGUAACAAUCCAUUCAAAUACACAAGUUUGGCUAUUCAAAUUACUUUUUCCAAAAGUACUUUAAAAUGCAUUAAGUUAUUAAUUGCCUGCUGGCACUUUAAUCAAAUGGGAAAAUUGACAUAGCCAGAGGCAUGUAUUUUUGUGGAAAGAAAAUUUAUUUAAGAAGAAACAGCAGCUCUUACUGCUUAAUUUAAACUGAGAAAACUGUGGAAAAUCAACUGCUAUGGAAAAUUAAUAAAACAUUUCCAGCUGCAAACAGUGACUAAUUGUACAAGAUGAAGACUGCCCGGAAUUAAUAACUUGCAGUCUUCUGUGUGAAGAACCCCCCACCACUUCAAUUUACUGGGAGAUUAAAUUACUUCUAAGUUUGCCAUAUUAAAACAGA